UAGUCACUAUAUUUAGGAGGAUUCCUUUCCUCCAUUAAGAGUCAAAAUUACCUUCAGUUGGAGGUGUAUGAUCCUCUUUUCACUCCAUGUCUCCCUUCGUUGCCAAAACUUCUCACCCUUGCCAUUAGUAAAGGUUCAUUGAACCAAGUUCAUGUUGACCAAACCCUAUUCUCAUUCACCACCUCUCCUUGCCAUCUCUUCCUUCCUCUUUCUCCCAUUUCUCUCUUUUUUUGCUUCUUUUCCUUUCUAUUUUCUCUCCAUUUUCAAACACCACCACCCUUCGCUUUUAACUUUUGCUCCUUUCCCCCACCAGAACAGAAACCUUUACCACUAUUCACCACUUAUCCUUUGAUCCUCUUUUUCUUCUCCCAUUGUCGUUGUGAUCGUCGCUGCGCGCCACCGCGGGUCUCUUUUCUCCUCCGUUAUUGUCC
RNAcentral lists this long non-coding RNA (431 nucleotides) under Gossypium raimondii (Peruvian cotton). RNAcentral's name for it is "long non-coding RNA (GRAI_LNC000915)". The record is from RNAcentral. Lineage: Eukaryota; Viridiplantae; Streptophyta; Magnoliopsida; Malvales; Malvaceae.